Long non-coding RNA from Spinacia oleracea (spinach), 940 nucleotides. RefSeq lists it as uncharacterized. The record is from RefSeq and is a predicted model, not a curated record. The transcript has 3 exons. NCBI's taxonomy places the organism in Eukaryota, Viridiplantae, Streptophyta, Magnoliopsida, Caryophyllales, Amaranthaceae.
GCGGCAUUAUGCCGGAAAAAGGGGCGAAGGGGGUGGCUCCAUGGCUGAGAUUUGCAAUUUAUUCAAAGAGAAAAUAAAAUGGAGUAUGGAAUAGAUCAGUUGAAAACUGUUUGUUUUUUGCUGGUGAAGCUGCAAGGAGCAUCCAGAUACAAUAGGUGGUGCAAUGUUGAGUGGGCUGCGAGAGGCAGUUCGUAUAAUUAACAUAUCCACUGGUAAUGAUUACGCAGCAGAAGCAAAAUCUGUUGAAGCUGCACAGAGACAAUCAAACAGAUAGAGGAAUGAAGUAAAGGACAUUACAAGAAGGCUUGAUGCAAUUACCAUUAUCCGCUAUAAUAGUUCAUUUCAUAGAUCCCAGUUUUUUGCUACAGAAAGUUUACUACAGGAUAUGUUGUUUAGUGUCAAAAUGUCAGCUAGAAGAUUGCGUCUGGCUAAAGAGAUAUUAAGCCUUCCUUUUGAAUCUCUAAAGUCUGUUGCUGGGACUAAAGAAGGGAUUAGUAUACUCAACUCGUGGAUAUUGGAUUCCAUGGGAAAGAAUGGAACUCAACUCAUGCGUCUUUGUGUCCAUAUACUUGUUCUGGUCUCAGCUGUCCGGCUGUCAGGUAUACACAAGUCCCCCCCCCCCCCCCCCCCCCCCUACUAGCUAGGUGUUCUUUGAUCCGUGUUAUUCAGGUGAGCAAGGAUUAGUUGACGAAGCACAGAAAGCAUUAGAGGAAACUUUUGUUUAUUUCUACGACUGUAGUGUAAAUUAGAAAAAAUAUAAUCAAUAUUAUUGUUAGAUUAUACUAAAUAUGUGUAUUGUUGUAUUAUAUAAUAAUCUAAUAUUUACAUAUAUAAAGGAGGCAUAUUUGCUGAAAGAUUAGAGCGCCACCUAGGAUUACUAAUGGUUUCGGCCAAUGAAAAAUAAGAUUUCUAAUUUCUUUUUGAAUUAAAAAAAUCAAGU